This 265-nucleotide ribosomal RNA is filed under the name uncultured archaeon. RNAcentral's name for it is "partial 16S ribosomal RNA". It matches the Rfam family "Archaeal small subunit ribosomal RNA", at positions 719 to 982 of the family's 1478-position model. The record is from RNAcentral.
ACACGACUACAUUAGAUACCCGUGUAGUCCCAGCCGUAAACUAUGCGCGUUAGGUGUACUGGUGACCACGAGUCACCGGGGUGCCGAAGGGAAACCGUGAAACGUGCCGCCUGGGAAGUACGGUCGCAAGGCUGAAACUUAAAGGAAUUGGCGGGGGAGCACCGCAACGGGAGGAGCGUGCGGUUUAAUUGGAUUCAACACCGGAAAACUCACCAAGGGCGACUGUUACAUGAAAGCCAGGCUAAUGACCUUGCUUGAUUUUCAG